This is a non-coding RNA of Podarcis lilfordi (Lilford's wall lizard), 77 nucleotides long. The record is from the annotation of a GenBank genome assembly. NCBI's taxonomy places the organism in Eukaryota, Metazoa, Chordata, Lepidosauria, Squamata, Lacertidae.
GGAGGUGGCUCACAGCUCACUGGCAGAGCUCAUGCUUUGCAUGCAGACAGUCCCUGGUUCAAUCCCUGGCAUCUCCA